This is a long non-coding RNA of Sparus aurata (gilthead seabream), 6061 nucleotides long. NCBI's taxonomy places the organism in Eukaryota, Metazoa, Chordata, Actinopteri, Spariformes, Sparidae. The record is from Ensembl.
GUAAGAAUUUUUGUUAAAACAAUUUAAAACUUCAUUGAAAUUAUCAACAGAAUGUGGAGGAAUGCUGUAACAGUAGCUAGCCCCAAAGCUCCUGUGCUAACACUUCCGUUGUAAUCUGAGCUUCCAGCCUGGACCGCUUACUGCACAGCUAACUGAGCUAACGGCAGCUACAGUUGGCAGCAGUUAGUGGUUUCUCCUUCCCCUUGUUUGUUAUGAGUAUGCACUCAACAAGUGGCCAAUUCUUACAUAUUGCACCUUCUUUAAGGCAGUCGUUAUGUACUUCUAUUAACUUCUUAGUGCGACCAAUUCACAUUCUGUAUUUCACUCUUUUGUUAUGCAGAGAUCUGUGUAUGCAGUAUGCCUGAAUACAUGUGUAUGUGUGCUUGGUGUUUCAGCACUUGUGUGCUGUAGUUCACCGUGUGUGGAUGAAAAAGGCAGACAAAGUUUUAGCCCACUGAAAAAACAACCAUUGGCUUUUUUUGCUAUUCUGUGAAGUCUGUCAUCAAACUGAGCGAAGGCCCAUGUGAAGGACUCUCUGUGCUCUAUUCUUUCAAUAAGAGUUUUUUUUUUUUUUUAUCUUCCACUCCACAAUAUUUUACUCCUGCUUCUUGGCCGCCAUGUCUGUUAAUUGUUAAUGCGGAUGGAUGAAAGGGUGAAGGAGCGACUUAGUUCCGACAACAAAGGUGAACCCUGCGACUUCUACAAUGAAUAAUAAUGUGUCAAAGUGACACUGAUCCCUGCAGAGAAAUUCUCUUUUCUUGAACCCCCGUCAAGGAGAUCAAAGUACAGGGCGAGCUGGAAGAGUAUCUUUUGAGUUCUUGGGGAUUCGGUGUCUGGCUAAUGGACAAUUCAGAAGGGCAGGUGCUCGUGGACAUGGGACAUAAAAAUCUCAUGAACAUGAGACUUCCAGUUGGACGGUUACCAAGCCACCAGGCCACACAUACUGUAUUUUCUUCCAUUGUUCUGGCAGCACAGUCCAGACUUUUUAAUUGGCAUUUUCUAGAAAAGACAUUGUUCACCAACUUACCAAAGCUUCACACAUGGACUAUAUAUAUUUAUCAAUGUAAAAUUAAAGGAAAACAGAAGAAUCACUUAACAUCCAACCAACAUGCACCUACAAGUACACCUGCCCAGCCCAGCCCAACCCUGCUGAAAACACAUUAUACUUGAAUAUCAUUAUAUCAUCAUCUUUAACAGCUUCAGCUGCUAGGGGUGGUAGUUUGGGCCCGCAGGUGCUACACAAGCUAUGAACAGGGUGUGGAGAAAAAACAACAACAUAUUUUUGAAGUUAUUUAUUAUUUCAGUAUUAAUGUUCUAGCCCUCAUAGUUACAUGUUCGUCCUUUGCUUCUGUGUUCUAACCCAGCAGUCUGACUUUCCUGUUCUUGUGACGUUUGCAUUUCAUCAACUCAAAGACUCCCCGUCCUGUUGUCACUAGGCGCCAGUUCCAUUUGUCCACCUCUUUGUCUUACUCUUCACUUCACAAUGUGUUCCGCUGUCUUUGUAUUCCCGUCUUCUUCAUCCCCUUUCCCCUCUAAAUAUUAGAUGUCUCCACUCACUCGCUUUUAAGUAAAAAAAAAAACAACUUCAUUUUGCUUUGAUUUUAAAAUGACAUAGUCCUCAAUUUUCCUGUCAAGUGUGUCUAUGUUGUAAAUAGAACAAUGUAAACAAAAUACUAAUGCUGAAUAAAAAUGACAUUUUGUUUGCAGAGAUGAUUGAAACUUCUUUCUCUAAUUGGAUUGUCUUUAUUUUUUUGAUAUUGAUUGUUGCAUGUUAUCAGUACAGCUGCAUGGCAUUAUUGAACAGACAGGCGCGUACAGACCCGAUGCGGCUGAUGUCAGUGCUGCCAGUCUCACUUUGAUACGGGAUGUAUAGGCUUUCUGUCGGGAAUUGUUACCAAGCAGCGUGAGGUUUUGUAGGUAUCAAAUGGUAGAAUCAUCUAAAGUAGCCAACUGAACACACACACACGCACACAUGCGUGUGCACGAACCAGCCGGAUAGAUAGGGUUAUCUAAUGAUGUAUGCUCGUGCUGAGUGAGGCUAAGGUAACAAAACCCCCCGGCCUGGUACCCUGCCUCGCUCGCUGGCCCUGUUAAUUAUUCACACUGCCUGCAGGGGCCUGCAGACCUCACAGACACACACACACACACACACACACACACACACACACACACACACACACACACACACACACACACACACACACACACAUACAUACACGCACGCACACUCCAGUCAAAAGCAUCUGCAGGUAUGUUUAAUUUACGUUCUUGAAGUUGUUUUCUUUUGUUGUCACUGUUGGCCAAAUCGGGCACUGUUCUGUUAACUGAGACAGGGAAGGGGGGGGGGGGGAGAGAAUGGAGGGGAAUGGAGGGCAGGUCUCCGCUGAUGGGGGAAUCUGAUAUCACAGACGGCGCAGUGGACAUCAUUCAUGACAUCCUCCAUUCAUUCUCCCCGCCGCUCCUCCCUCCUCAGAUCCUUGUAAGUGCCUAUUAACUACCUUUUCCCCCUUCACCUCAAAGGACAAUCAUCAGGAGCAAUUAACCACAUUGUGUUGGACUAAGUGGGAUAACAGUGUGGAGGGAGAGUCCUCUGUCUUUGCACAAGAUCUACAGUAUGUGACGGAUUUGCAAACACUUUGACAACAUGGGCAUGCUCGAGUCCUGCACACUGUUGUUCAGGGUCUUAAUGUGACAGCAAGGUGAAGAGGAUGUAACGUGUGUGUGAGGGGUGUUGGACCAGGAUGUUGGAGCGGUUGUGUGUGGGUGGGUGUGUGUCUGUGAUUGACUAAGGGUGUAGUAGCGUAGUGAAAGUGUUGACUUGGCUUGUGUGAGCUUAGAUGAAUGAUGCCCUUCCUUCAGGUUUGUUCAUCUCAAUCAUAGCACAUAGAAAGUAUGCAGCGGUGGAAGAAGAAGUAGUCCGAUCCUUUUUAAAAGUACUCAUACUGCACUGUGCGGAUACUUGAUUACUAGAAAGUCCUGCGUGUAAAACCUAUUGAAAGUAAAAGUACUCAUUCAGGAUGUAUUUUAUUUAGAUCUAGAUUUUUAUGACUGCUGUGGAUACUUUCAAAAAAUUCUGGGAGAUUUUCAAAUUUCUGUUUCUCUUAAGAAGAGCAGAAUUUUCUGAACUCAUAAAGAACACUUGAGAUUUUCAGUCCUUUAUUAAUCAGAAAUUAUCUCAAAUGUGGAGAUGCAUGCUGUUCAAACCUCCAUGUAAUCGGAAAUGUAUUUGAGAGGCUUUAAUGCUCCUUGCCCUCCUACACUUGGGGAUUGUGGGUCAGGUAGGUGUAAAAAUGACAUUUUAGGUAAGUUAGUUGUAAGUGUUUAGACAUUUCUCGUAAUCUGACAGUAAUCAUGUUUAUGAUGCUACUAUGAAUGCUUACACAUGUAAUUAAUGGUAAUUAGCAUUGUAUAAUCAUUAUAACAGCCUUACCACCUAUUGACUAAUACUUAUUACAGUACAAGGACAUUAGUAUUACUUACCCUCAAUUAUACACUGAUAUGUGUAAAACCGGAAGCCAAAAAGGUACGAAACCACUUGUUUAUUCUAUUUCAAAAGCUUUGUAAAAUUGUCAUCCUAAAAGUACAGUAAUGAGUAACUCAAGCAGUUGAAACAUUGCAGUGGAGCAGAAAUUCACUUGUUACAACAGCUCAAGAUGCAACAAGUACAGGACAAAGAAUAAGACAAAUAUGCAGUUAGAGUUAUUGUAAAUAGAAAAUUAACAGAAAAGUAAGAUAUAAUAAUAAUAAUAAUAAUAAUAAUAAUAAUAAUAAUAAUAAUAAUAAUAAUAAUAAUUAUUAUUAUUAUUAUUAUUAUUAUUAUUAUUAUUAUUAUUAUAUAAUAAGAGAUACACUUCUUUACUUAAGUACAACACUUGAGUAAAUGUACUUAUUUCACCAGUGUAUAUAAUGUAUAUAUAAUGGAAAGAGAGUGAGAAAGAUCUGUCAAGAUUGAUGAUUUCAGAGGAUGAAUCUCUCAUGAGAUGGACCUGAUGCGUUGCUGGAUUGUCCCCAAGCUCCAACAUUCGCAUUCUCACAUUUGAAUUGUGUUGCAGCGGAACCACGUGAAAAAAAAAAAAAAAGAAACAGUCUCGCUCCCUUGAACAAAAAUAGCCCAAAUCCUCACAUGUAUUUUGGGAUUUGGCUGCUCUUAUUACAGCAGAGCGAGGUGCUACAGUACGUUUGCUCCUCAAGCUAAAAACGUUUGCUUUCCUUUUGCCGAAAAGCUCGUGAGCCUCCCUCAAGAUGAGGACCGCCGGAAGAAACCUCCAGUGCCUGUAAUGAGCAGACACAUCAUCAGCACCAAAAAAGGGCCAGUGACAGACUUCUCUCUGGUCUGCUUUUACUCUUUGUCUUUCAUCGACUUUCUUUGGUCUAGUGAGAGGUAGACAGGAGAAUCAGGUUGGGAUCAAUACAGCUUCUCUUUGAUUAAAAAAAAUGGUCAGUGUCUCUAGUGUCAUAAGUGCCCAGAAGAGAGAGAACAUGAGACUGAAACCGUCAACCAUCCUGCAGGCUCCUCUCACGUCCAGCAGAGGGUAGUAGUAUUCCAUUAUCAGGUCCUCCGUUCACCUUGCAAGUCUCUCUUUUUGUCUCUAUUUUUCUGCCUAUUUUUCUGCCCACACCUCUACCCCUUUGACCAACAGUUGAUGAACCUGUUGAGCAGAGUUUAAGAAGACUUCUGAUGCAAAGAUCGUGCAACAGUGAGUGUGUGUUUUUGUGUUGCUUCCCGCAGUGGCGGUGGGCUGCCGUUGUAAUUCAGGCCCAGCGUACAUCCAGCUGUAACUCCCAUUAUAUCUGCCUCAGACUCUCUGGUCUCCAGCUCUGAAUGACAGAUGUGGCCCCGGCCAUCUGUGGAGGCCUUGGUAAAAUUCAAUUCAAACAUCAGAGGCCUUCAAGAGCCGUGUGUGUGUGUGUGUGUGUGUGUGUGUGUGUGUGUGUGUGUGUGUGCGUGUGUGUGUGUGUGUGUGUCUGUGUGUGUGUGUAAGAUUUUAGAUGAAAGUUAAAUGAUCCGUGUGGAGAAACAGAAGCCCUGAGCAGGCCAAAAAAAAAAAAAGGAGAUGAAUGGGGGUAAUAAAAUAUUUCAACAUGCAAACUUAAUUGACACGUGCUGAAUUUGUGCUUGCGUGUGUGUGUGUGUGUGUGUCAGGGUGCUGGGGAUAGAUGGAGUCCUGUCACCGUGUCACCAUGGAGAUAAGAGAAGCCUGACAGCGAGGGGAGAGCGACUGACAGCCUUUAUAUCAAUCAUACUGACUUAUAUCAGCGUGUGUGAGCAUGUGUAUGCGUGUGUGUGUGUGUGUACGUCGAGGGGUUAGGAAAGGGCAUUACGCUGGAAUCAAAAAUAAAUCAAUGUCAUGUGGUUUCGUGAGUCAACAGCUGUUGUCAGUUUGGCCUCACCUCUCGCCCGUAAUCUCUAAACUCCAGUGACCACACGCGCGCGCGCACGCGCGCGCGCACACACACACACACAUAUGAUGCACUGACACACAAACAGACAGAUGCCACUGUGUGUCACCCAUCUCUAAGUGCCUGGACAACACCCAGAAGGAGAGAGUUGUCCAAAUGUUGUCCUGGCACAAAACACAAAAUCUACAUCUUUCUCUCUGCUCUGAUUUGUUUUCUGCCUCACUCUGUGUCUACUCUCAUUUCUACUUCACCCCCACCUCUCCUUCCUCCUACAAUUUCUUCCUACUUUUUCACCUUCCCGUCCUCUCCCUCUCUCUGUUCUGUACAUAUUCACUGCCUCCGAACCAAAAACCUUGUCCAACCCGGAGCCUCAGUGAGUCUGUAAGCUGAUGCGGCGUAUCUGUGAGGAAUUGGGAAUUCAAUUGGAGAAAAUCGGGCUUUUGAGUUUUCAGCCAGAUAUUUAAUUAUGGGAGUGAAUUAUAGCUGUGUCGCUGCGGGGACACAGAGGAGAGGUAAUGUGACUAAGUAAACAAUAAAUAAGCACUAAAUGAACACAAAGUCUAUGCCGGGCUCGAUAAGAAACAUAACACCGGCCUCUCACGCUCACUUUGGCCAACAAAAUCCAGCUAACUUCCACCUUCUCAAACUUUGAAGGUUUUGG